AUUGAACGCUGGCGGCAUGCCUUGCACAUGCAAGUCGAACGGCAGCGGGGGAGAAGCUUGCUUUUCCUGCCGGCGAGUGGCGAACGGGUGAGUAAUACAUCGGAACGUGCCCUGUAGUGGGGGAUAACUAGUCGAAAGAUUAGCUAAUACCGCAUACGACCUGGGGGUGAAAGUGGGGGACCGCAAGGCCUCAUGCUAUAGGAGCGGCCGAUGUCUGAUUAGCUAGUUGGUGGGGUAAAGGCCUACCAAGGCGACGAUCAGUAGCUGGUCUGAGAGGACGAUCAGCCACACUGGGACUGAGACACGGCCCAGACUCCUACGGGAGGCAGCAGUGGGGAAUUUUGGACAAUGGGCGAAAGCCUGAUCCAGUAAUGCCGCGUGUGUGAAGAAGGCCUUCGGGUUGUAAAGCACUUUUGUCCGGAAAGAAAUGGCUCUGGUUAAUACCUGGGGUCGAUGACGGUACCGGAAGAAUAAGGACCGGCUAACUACGUGCCAGCCGCCGCCGUAA
Molecule: ribosomal RNA, 508 nt
Filed under: uncultured bacterium
Lineage: Bacteria
Description: partial 16S ribosomal RNA
Rfam family: Bacterial small subunit ribosomal RNA
Source: RNAcentral